AGAACAGUAGACAGACUGAGAAAAAUAAAACGUGAAGUUCGGCAAAGUGAACUAAUUUAAUGUAUUGUGGUUAAGCUAAAAGCUUUAUUAAUGUACUGCCUUGUAAAUCUUAGAAGAUAACUUUGUUUGGCAAUUGUUUGUCUGUAGUUUAGUUUAAUUGAUAUAAAAUGCCAAUGUCUGCAAAACAGCUAUGGAUGCUAGUUGAAGUUAGCUAAUUAGCGUUAGCUAAGGUCAGCUGUGUCACUGAUUACCGUUAGCUGAGGAAAGACCGAAUCGUGCGGGAAAGUAAUUCCAAUGUCCUGGACCGUCCACCUGUGUCUCCACCUCAUUGAAUGGACCUGAGGAUUUGACUAUCUGCUUCACUGAUUCUGAGGAGCUGUAAGAGGAGGAGAGGACUCUCCAUCACCGCCGGCUCCGUCUCUCCCUCUCAUCUCUCUCUGUCAGCCGGGGUUAACGCGUGCCACCAUUAACCCAUCCUGUCCUAAUACAAGGAGAGCAUCCCAACUUCUCUUUCAACUACAUGACCUUAUGACAUCUCAGGGCUGGUUUCACAAAGUCUAGUCUUACAAAGCAGGCCUUGCCCAGUGCACACACAGACGAACUGGCCAGUGCUUAGGCCAGUGCAAAGCUGAUGAAUCAUAUCAAACAAUUACCCUGUUUUCCCAAAGAGGAGGAUGGAGAGCUGUGAUGGCAGAGGCGACAAAGUCUCAAUCCCUGGAGACCAUGAGAGCAUUUUCUGGCCGCAACUUCAGACGCUGUGUGAUCUGCCCAUCCCGUCGCAUGAGAGAACACAGACACGUCUUUCAGCCGUCCAAGUCCUGAUUUUCCUGUUGGAUUGUCCAGUUCCCUCUGCACCGCAGUCCACGUCACUCCACUGUUGUCCAGAUGGGGCUGCAGACAGACAUGCUACCUCCAGUUGCUUCAUUUCACCUGCCACUGAUGAGCUUUGGAGAUGUGACUCACACUAUACCACCUAUUUCAUACCAACCAGUAUGUGUAGCAACCAUAGCCUGUUAAUAUACAGUCUAUGGUAGCAACACAGACAAAGUCCCACACCGGCUUCCUACCUGCAAACAUGGCCAACUGUGUUCGUUGGAACACACAACCAAGCCGAAGGUACCGUUACUGGGAACCAAUCCCAGAAUCUUUAUGGUGGAGGGACAGAGCACCCAGGAUUUUUGUUAUCAACAAAUCCUGUGAAGAGACUAAAACCAGCAAUUAAUGUAGUAUGGUCUGUGAAUCCACAGUCUGACAUACAUGUAAUGUUUCUUACACAGAACUCCAGUCAUCCAAAAAAUCCUAAAAACACAUGGAGCCAUCCUGUUGUCACAUAUUACUUUGUUGUGAUGAGCAUGGCCAGUGUAGUUUAUUCUUCUUAGUUCAUUAAUCUAGCAAAGCAUCAUUGAACAUGAGUGUGUUUACACUAAGUGUCUAAAACAACUCUGCGUCAGCAUUUUUUUAAUGUGUGGAGUAGUGUUGGGCAGAGUCCUGUCAGAAACUGGAUUUCUGUGGCACGAAGGCAUAAGCUAUAACACUCAAUCACUACACAGAUCUCACUGUUUUGCAAUAUGAAUAGUUGGUUUCGAUCUCUUCAGGCUUAGUGUGGAUAAAACUGUCAUUACCUGAGACACUUUCAGACCUGCCAACCUGUACGCAUUUUGCGUAGUAGAUACGCAUUUUGACAUCAAAAUACGGUGAUACGAUUUGUCACUUUAAACUACGCGAAAAUCAGGUGACAGGUGGUUUGAGUUCACUCGUUGACGUGCAGUAACCGUCUCAGUCUAACUCUUGAUGAUAGACAGUAGGCAGCCACGAGCAUGCUGGAAAAAAAAACUAAAGAGGAAGAGUUCGACCAAUCACACCAUCGGGUCACUUCCUCUAAUGUCAAGCGGGGAUAUCGCCAUAGACAGUAUGGAUAUCGCUUAUAUAUAUGUCAAUGGGAUAUCGGUUAGUAGUGUUAUUCAUUCCUCCUUCAUUCCCGUUUAGUUUGGUUGGUUUCCCCCAUAUAUCUAUGGUUUUCCCCAAGGGAGGACUGUGCUUGCAAAGGUAAACGGAUUUGAUGUAGAAAGGUGAAAUGAAUUAAUUUACGUAGCCUAUCUGUCAACU
Molecule: long non-coding RNA, 2106 nt
Organism: Perca flavescens (yellow perch)
Lineage: Eukaryota; Metazoa; Chordata; Actinopteri; Perciformes; Percidae
Exons: 5
Source: RefSeq, a predicted model, not a curated record